This is a long non-coding RNA of Eriocheir sinensis (Chinese mitten crab), 919 nucleotides long. RefSeq lists it as uncharacterized. The record is from RefSeq and is a predicted model, not a curated record. Lineage: Eukaryota; Metazoa; Arthropoda; Malacostraca; Decapoda; Varunidae. The transcript has 3 exons.
AUUCGGUUCGUGGUUCAUAAGUUAACUGUUGUAAGGUGAUUCGGUUCGUGGUUCAUAAGUUAACUGUUGUAAGGUGAUUCGGUUCGUGGUUCAUAAGUUAACUGUUGUAAGGUGAUUCGGUUCGUGGUUCAUAAGUUAACUGUUGUAAGGUGAUUCGGUUCGUGGUUCAUAAGUUAACUGUUGUAAGGUGAUUCGGUUCGUGGUUCAUAAGUUAACUGUUGUAAGGUGAUUCGGUUCGUGGUUCAUAAGUUAACUGUUGUAAGGUGAUUCGGUUCGUGGUUCAUAAGUUAACUGUUGUAAGGUGAUUCGGUUCGUGGUUCAUAAGUUAACUGUUGUAAGGUGAUUCGGUUCGUGGUUCAUAAGUUAACUGUUGUAAGGUGAUUCGGUUCGUGGUUCAUAAGUUAACUGUUGUAAGGUGAUUCGGUUCGUGGUUCAUAAGUUAACUGUUGUAAGGUGAUUCGGUUCGUGGUUCAUAAGUUAACUGUUGUAAGGUGAUUCGGUUCGUGGUUCAUAAGUUAACUGUUGUAAGGUGAUUCGGUUCGUGGUUCAUAAGUUAACUGUUGUAAGGUGAUUCGGUUCGUGGUUCAUAAGUUAACUGUUGUAAGGUGAUUCGGUUCGUGGUUCAUAAGUUAACUGUUGUAAGGUGAUUCGGUUCGUGGUUCAUAAGUUAACUGUUGUAAGGUGAUUCGGUUCGUGGUUCAUAAGUUAACUGUUGUAAGGUGAUUCGGUUCGUGGUUCAUAAGUUAACUGUUGUAAGGUGAUUCGGUUCGUGGUUCAUAAGUUAACUGUUGUAAGGUGAUUCGGUUCGUGGUUCAUAAGUUAACUGUUGUAAGGUGAUUCGGUUCGUGGUUCAUAAGUUAACUGUUGUAAGGUGAUUCGGUUCGUGGUUCAUAAGUUAACUGUUGUAAGGUGAUUCGGU